Non-coding RNA from Pelobates cultripes (western spadefoot toad), 278 nucleotides. The record is from the annotation of a GenBank genome assembly. Lineage: Eukaryota; Metazoa; Chordata; Amphibia; Anura; Pelobatidae.
GUGACUAGUGACAGAGAGAGGGAGGGGGUGACUAGUGACAGAGUGAGGGAGGGAAGGGGUGACUAGUGACAGAGUGAGAGAGGUUGUGAUUAGUGACAGAGGGAGGGAUGGGGUGACUAGUGACAGUCACCACCUCCUUCACUCUGUCACUUGUCACCCCCUCCCUCACUCUGUCAUUGUGUCACCCCCUCCCUCACUCUGUCACUAGUCACCCCCUCCCUCACUCUGUCACUAGUCACCCCCUUCCUUACUGUCACUAGUCAUCCCCUUCCUUACUG